GGGUUGGUCCAACGCGGCAGAAACUUGCGAACCCCGCCAGGUCCGAGAGGAAGCAACGGUAAGUGAGUCCCUCUGGGUGCCGUUGGUUGCCUGCCCGGC
Molecule: signal recognition particle RNA, 99 nt
Filed under: Anaerolineales bacterium
Lineage: Bacteria; Bacillati; Chloroflexota; Anaerolineae; Anaerolineales
Description: signal recognition particle sRNA small type
Rfam family: Bacterial small signal recognition particle RNA
About the family: The signal recognition particle (SRP) is a universally conserved ribonucleoprotein involved in the co-translational targeting of proteins to membranes. Archaeal SRP consists of a 7S RNA and homologues of the eukaryotic SRP19 and SRP54 proteins.
Source: RNAcentral